This is a non-coding RNA of Acanthosepion pharaonis, 109 nucleotides long. Lineage: Eukaryota; Metazoa; Mollusca; Cephalopoda; Sepiida; Sepiidae. The record is from the annotation of a GenBank genome assembly.
GGCCACAUCACGUUGAAACAUCAGUUCCCGUACGAUCACUGAAGUUAAGCAACGUCAAACCUGAUCAGUACUUAGAUGGUUGAUUGCUUCGGAUUACCAUGUACUGUAA